Molecule: ribosomal RNA, 445 nt
Filed under: Paratropis sp. JB13
Lineage: Eukaryota; Metazoa; Arthropoda; Arachnida; Araneae; Paratropididae
Description: partial 16S ribosomal RNA
Rfam family: Bacterial large subunit ribosomal RNA
Source: RNAcentral
UUCUAAUAGAAUUUAUUAUUAGUAAGACCUGCUCAAUGAAAACCAUUUUAAAUAGCCGCAGUAACCUGUGCUAAGGUAGCAUAAUAACUUGCCUUAUAAUUAAAGGCUAGAAUGAAAGGUUUAACAUACAAAAUCCUUUAUUAUUAAAAUUUCUAAAAAUUAUCCUAUAAGUAAAAAGACUUAUAUCAUUAGGAGGACGACAAGACCCUGAUGAACUUAACUUAUAGUUUUGCUGGGGCGGCAAAACAAGAAUAUCUUUAUCAUAUAUAUAUAUAAAUAAACCCAUUACAAAUGAAUUUAUAACAAGUUACCACAGGGAUAACAGCAUAAUAUUUCUUAAAAGAUCUUAUUAAAAGAAAUGAUUGUGACCUCGAUGUUGAAUAAUUUUACCUAAUUCGGAGCAGAAUCCAAUUAAGGAAGUCUGUUCGACUUUUAAACACUUACA